Molecule: ribosomal RNA, 253 nt
Filed under: uncultured bacterium
Lineage: Bacteria
Description: partial 16S ribosomal RNA
Rfam family: Bacterial small subunit ribosomal RNA
Source: RNAcentral
UACAUGGGGUGCAAACGUUGCUCGGAAUUAUUGGGCGUAAAGCGCACGUAGGCGGUUUGUUAAGUCGGAUGUGAAAUCCCUCGGCUCAACUGAGGAAGUGCACCCGAAACUGGCAGGCUUGAGUACUAAAGAGGGUCGCGGAAUUCCCGGUGUAGAGGUGAAAUGCGUAGAUACUGGGAGGAACACCGGUGGCGAAGGCGGCUACCUGGACCGGAACUGACGCUGAGGCGCGAAAGCGUGGGGAGCAAACGGG